RNAcentral lists this long non-coding RNA (242 nucleotides) under Elaeis guineensis (African oil palm). RNAcentral describes it as "long non-coding RNA (EGUI_LNC066462)". The record is from RNAcentral. Lineage: Eukaryota; Viridiplantae; Streptophyta; Magnoliopsida; Arecales; Arecaceae.
ACCCGCACAAAGGUAAUAUGUUUUGAGCACAUAACAGUAAAAGGUUUACUGUAGAAUUCAAAAUUUUAAAUUUAAAUGCAUGCUAUAUAUAUCAUUUUUAGAUCUUUGUGUAGGGUUAAUAUAUAUUAAUUAAUUAAAUUAAUUAAUAAUUUUUACUGUAAAGUUAUAAUUUUGAAAAAGUUUUAAAAUUAUUGUUUUACCCCUGCACUGAAUUUACUACACUUCCUUGAUCUAAAACUUCA